CAAUAGCGUAUAUUAAAGUUGUUGCGGUUAAAAAGCUCGUAGUUGGAUUUCUGCCGAGGACGACCGGUCCGCCCACUGGGUGAGUAUCUGGGACGACCUGGGCAUCCUUCCAGAGAAUGUGUCUGCUCUUGACUGAGUGGUGCAGUAUCUGGAACUUUUACUUUGAGGAAAUUAGAGUGUUUCAAGCAGGCAUACGCCUUGAAUACAUUAGCAUGGAAUAAUAAGAUAGGACCUCGGUUCUAUUUUGUUGGUUUCUAGAGCUGAGGUAAUGAUUAAUAGGGAUAGUUGGGGGCAUCCAUAUUUAACUGUCAGAGGUGAAAUUCUUGGAUUUGUUAAAGAUGAAGCUAUGAACGAACGACUUAUUCGACGAAGAGUUUUGUUUACUAGUUAGUACUAACGAAAACGGAAAACGGUUAAAAGGGGGUUAAGGGGUACGUAACGGAAAGUAGUAGUACCUA
Molecule: ribosomal RNA, 458 nt
Filed under: uncultured eukaryote
Lineage: Eukaryota
Description: bacterial SSU rRNA
Rfam family: Eukaryotic small subunit ribosomal RNA
Source: RNAcentral